UGGGAAUCGGUCAGCAAGCGGAGAGUGGAUCUUGUAAGGAAGAUGGGGCCUUGGAGAACCUAUAAGUCAAGAGUGAGCAGGCAAGCCAGAAGGGCUGCACUACGACGGCACCCUUCAACCAUCUGACUUCAGAAUCCAAAAAUCAAGAUCAAAUAGGCUGGUGCCAGAAGAGUUAAAAAUUGAUGCCAAAGCCUUAUUGGAAGAAUAGGCUUUCAGAUGAAGGAAGGAUUAAAAAAAAAAGUAUAUCCCAUCACUAAUUUUUCUUCUGAUAGUUUUGACAUUACUUGUCUCAAAGAACCAACUUGUCUUUAAAACUAUAUACGGCCCUCAAAUGUUUACGAACUGCAAUCCUAUUCCCCCUAUUCUCCUUUUUUAACAGAUUAAAUAAGCUAUAUUCCAUAGCUCUAAUCACUUUAAUGAUUCUCCUCUGUGCAAUUUCUAUCCAUAAAAGUGUAAAAAUAAA
RNAcentral lists this long non-coding RNA (463 nucleotides) under Gallus gallus (chicken). The record is from RNAcentral. Lineage: Eukaryota; Metazoa; Chordata; Aves; Galliformes; Phasianidae.